RNAcentral lists this ribosomal RNA (301 nucleotides) under uncultured bacterium. RNAcentral describes it as "partial 16S ribosomal RNA". It matches the Rfam family "Archaeal small subunit ribosomal RNA", at positions 459 to 760 of the family's 1478-position model. The record is from RNAcentral.
CAGCCGCCGCGGUAAAACCAGCACCUCGAGUGGUCAGGAGGUUUAUUGGGCCUAAAGCAUCCGUAGCCGGUUGCAUAAGUUUUCGGUUAAAUCUAUGUGCUUAACGUAUAGGCCGCCGAAAAUACUGUGCAGCUAGGGAGUGGGAGAGGUACACGGUACUCGAUAGGAAGGGGUAAAAUCCUUUGAUCUAUUGAUGACCACCUGUGGCGAAGGCGGUGUACCAGAACACGUUCGACGGUGAGGGAUGAAAGCUGGGGGAGCAAACCGGAUUAGAUACCCGGGUAGUCCCUGUCUCUUAUAC